Molecule: ribosomal RNA, 406 nt
Filed under: uncultured bacterium
Lineage: Bacteria
Description: partial 16S ribosomal RNA
Rfam family: Bacterial small subunit ribosomal RNA
Source: RNAcentral
AUUGAACGCUGGCGGCAGGCCUAACACAUGCAAGUCGAGCGAGCGGCGGACGGGUGAGUAAUGUCUGGGAAACUGCCUGAUGUAGGGGGAUAACUCCUGGAAACGGUAGCUAAUACCGCAUACCAUCAGCUGUGCCCAGAUGUGCUUAGCUCGUGGGUAGGGUAAUGGCUCACCUAGGCGACGAUCCCUAGCUGGUUUGAGAGGAUGACCAGACGCAGCGGACCUGUGACGCGGUCUCGACUCCUACGGGAGGCGGCAGUGGGGAAUAGUGCACAAUAGGCGCGAGUCUGAUGCAGCCAGACAGCGUGUGUGAAGAAGGCCUUCGGGUUGUAAAGCACUUACAGCGGAGAGGCGUUACCCGAAGAAGAAGCACCGGCUGACUCCGUGCCAGCAGCCGCGGUAAUAC